CCAUGCAGCUAGGUCUCUGCAACUCUCACAUGGUCACCCAUAAAGCUAAGCAGGGCUGUGCCUGGUCAGUACCAGAAUGGGGGACCACAUGGGAAAGCUAGGUUGCUGUCUGAA
Molecule: ribosomal RNA, 114 nt
Filed under: Danio rerio (zebrafish)
Lineage: Eukaryota; Metazoa; Chordata; Actinopteri; Cypriniformes; Danionidae
Source: RNAcentral